Molecule: ribosomal RNA, 119 nt
Filed under: Pteropus alecto (black flying fox)
Lineage: Eukaryota; Metazoa; Chordata; Mammalia; Chiroptera; Pteropodidae
Source: RNAcentral
UACUACAGCCAUGCCAUCCUGAAUAUGCCUGAUCCCAUCUGAUCUCAGAAGCUAAGCAGGGUUGGGCCUGGUUAGUACUUGGAUGGGAGAGCACCUAGAAAGACUGGGCGCUGUAGGCA